Molecule: ribosomal RNA, 329 nt
Filed under: uncultured eukaryote
Lineage: Eukaryota
Description: partial 18S ribosomal RNA
Rfam family: Eukaryotic small subunit ribosomal RNA
Source: RNAcentral
UCCCUUAGAUGUCCUGGGCCGCACGCGCGUUACACUGAUGCAUUCAACGAGCUUAUAACCUUGGCCGAGAGGCCUGGGCAAUCUUGUUAACGUGCAUCGUGAUAGGGAUAGAUUAUUGAAAUUAUUAAUCUUGAACGAGGAAUUCCUAGUAAACGCAGAUCAUCAAUCUGCAUUGAUUACGUCCCUGCCCUUUGUACACACCGCCCGUCGCACCUACCGAUUGGAUGGUCCGGUGAAGCCUCGGGAUUGUGGUUCUUGCCGCUUUAUUGUGGCGUGACCGCGAGAACUUGUCUAAACCUUAUCAUCUAGAGGAAGGUGAANUCGUAACA